AAUACUAUAAUAAUUAACAAUAAUAUAAUUAAAAUUAAAUAAAUAUUAUAAAAUAUUAUUAUUUGUAUAAAAUACAUAUAAAGAUUCUAAAUCUAUCGCACUAAUCUGCCAAAAUAACAAUUUUAUUCAUUUAAAUUAAAUUUUAAAUUUUAAUUUUGGUCCUUUCGUACUAAAAACUAAAAAUUUUAUAAAGAUAGAAACCAACCUGGCUUACACCGGUUUAAACUCAGAUCAUGUAAAGUUUAAAUGGUCGAACAGACCAAAUACUUAAGCUUCUACACCUAAAUUUAACUUUAAUCCAACAUCGAGGUCGCAAUCUCUUUUUUCGAUUUGAACUCUAAAAAAAAAUAACGCUGUUAUCCCUAAGGUAAUUUAUUCUUAUAAUCAAUUAAUUGGAUCAAAUAUACAUAAAUAAAUGGUUUAAUAAAAAAAAAGUUAAAUUAAUUUUUCAAUCACCCCAAUCAAAUUAUUAUAAAAAUAAAAAUUAUAAAUUCUAAAAAUUUUUAAAAUAAUAAUAAUUAAACUCUAUAGGGUCUUCUCGUCUAUUAUAAACAUUUAAGCUUUUUAACUUAAAAAUAAAAUUUUUUUUAUUAAUUAAAGAAAGUCAUUUUUUCAUCAAACCAUUCAUACAAGCUUUCAAUUAAAAAACUAAUGAUUAUGCUACCUUUGCACAGUCAAAAUACUGCGGCCCUUUAAUAAAAUCA
Molecule: ribosomal RNA, 704 nt
Filed under: Anisosticta novemdecimpunctata (water ladybird)
Lineage: Eukaryota; Metazoa; Arthropoda; Insecta; Coleoptera; Coccinellidae
Description: partial 16S ribosomal RNA
Source: RNAcentral